UACGUAGGUGGCAAGCGUGUCCGGAAUUAUUGGGCGUAAAGCGCGCGCAGGUGGUUCCUUAAGUCUGAUGUGAAAGCCCACGGCUCAACCGUGGAGGGUCAUUGGAAACUGGGGAACUUGAGUGCAGAAGAGGAAAGUGGAAUUCCAAGUGUAGCGGUGAAAUGCGUAGAGAUUUGGAGGAACACCAGUGGCGAAGGCGAACUUUCUGGUCUGUAACUGACACUGAGGCGCGAAAGCGUGGGGAGCAAACAGGG
RNAcentral lists this ribosomal RNA (254 nucleotides) under uncultured bacterium. RNAcentral's name for it is "partial 16S ribosomal RNA". It matches the Rfam family "Bacterial small subunit ribosomal RNA", at positions 524 to 777 of the family's 1533-position model. The record is from RNAcentral.